AUUUUAAAAAUUCCCCUGCUAAUUUUUCGUUUCCCCCCAAAGACCAUGAUUUCAACCAAAUUUGAAAUUUCCUCCACAUCUUUACAACUUCACCGCUCUGCUUUCUCUAGUUGUGUUCUCCACCUCCAAAUGGACCCUCUUAUUCAUCGAUGGUUGCCGAAAUCUAUCACCUGCUAGCGAAUCACCGUCGCCUAACAGUCGGGCAGCCUUUUCGUUUUACUCAAUGAUACUUGUACUAUUCUCUACACCGUCCGACGGACUCCGACCUACAGUUGCUGCUAUGUUACCCAACAUUCCCCUCAUGUUACCCUCACUUUCAUACGGUUAGCUUAUAUUAAGAGGGCUGGCAUGAAAUAUUGGAACAAACAUUUUUUUAUAGACAGGAGCAGGCAUGAAACCUACAAGGUUAAAAGUAGUUUCAUCCAUUGAAUUAUGCUAAUACAAAUUCCCUUCUAACUAACUUUGGUGUGGAAGGCAAGCAGCUAUUAGCGGUUCAUGAUGUACAUGGCUAUUCGAGAAGCCUGGCUUGGUUUGUUGCUAACAUGGGCCUUGCCGUGGGAAAUUGCUUCAAAGAAAAUACGAAAAGUUUUGCCACAAGGUGUCACAUUUGCUCUUGGUUGGGGGGAAGAGUAGAGGAAUACUCGGCUGCAGAUAUGGAUGACAUUCGCGAAGAUUGGUCGACUUAUACGGUUACCUCUAUUGUUAAGUGAAACCAUAUUUUAGGUGUUGACGAAUGUAUUGAUAAACAAUUUUUUUUGUUAACAUUAACAUAUUUGUAAUACACUUGACAUAUGAUUAUGUAAUGGGUUGU
Long non-coding RNA from Helianthus annuus (common sunflower), 811 nucleotides. RefSeq lists it as uncharacterized. NCBI's taxonomy places the organism in Eukaryota, Viridiplantae, Streptophyta, Magnoliopsida, Asterales, Asteraceae. The record is from RefSeq and is a predicted model, not a curated record. The transcript has 3 exons.